Molecule: small nuclear RNA, 138 nt
Filed under: Crocodylus porosus (Australian saltwater crocodile)
Lineage: Eukaryota; Metazoa; Chordata; Crocodylia; Crocodylidae
Description: U2 spliceosomal RNA (ENSCPRG00005002452.1)
Rfam family: U2 spliceosomal RNA
About the family: U2 is a small nuclear RNA (snRNA) component of the spliceosome (involved in pre-mRNA splicing). Complementary binding between U2 snRNA (in an area lying towards the 5' end but 3' to hairpin I) and the branchpoint sequence (BPS) of the intron results the bulging out of an unpaired adenosine, on the BPS, which initiates a nucleophilic attack at the intronic 5' splice site, thus starting the first of two transesterification reactions that mediate splicing.
Source: RNAcentral
AAGGAGUUUAAUAACUGAUAUGCCCUUGAUGUGAGGACUUUAUAUUAAAUGGAUUUUUAGAACUGGGAGAUGAGCUUGGAGCUUGCUCCACCCACUCCACACAUCAGCCUGGUACUGCAGUGCCUCCAGGAGAAAAAA